CCGACUCCUACGGGAGGCAGCAGUGAGGAAUAUUGGUCAAUGGUCGAGAGACUGAACCAGCCAAGUCGCGUGAAGGAAGACGGCUCUAUGAGUUGUAAACUUCUUUUGUACAGGAGUAAAGUGAGACACGCGUGUUUUAUUGCAAGUACUGUACGAAUAAGCAUCGGCUAACUCCGUGCCAGCAGCCGCGGUAAUACGGAGGAUGCGAGCGUUAUCCGGAUUUAUUGGGUUUAAAGGGUGCGUAGGCGGCCUGUUAAGUCAGCGGUGAAAUCUAGGGGCUUAACUCCUAAAUUGCCAUUGAUACUGGUGGGCUUGAGUGUAGAUGAGGUGGGCGGAAUGCGUGGUGUAGCGGUGGAAUGCAUAGAUAUCACGCAGAACUCCAAUUGCGAAGGCAGCUUACUAAGGUACAACUGACGCUGAAGCACGAAAGCGUGGGUAUCAAACAGGAUUAGAUACCCUGGUAGUCCACGCACUAAACGAUGAUAACUGGGCGUAUGCGAUAUACAGUAUGCUCCUAAGCGAAAGCGUUAAGUUAUCCACCUGGGGAGUACGCCGGCUACGGUGAAACUCAAAGGAAUUGACGGGGGCCCGCACAAG
Molecule: ribosomal RNA, 597 nt
Filed under: uncultured bacterium
Lineage: Bacteria
Description: bacterial SSU rRNA
Rfam family: Bacterial small subunit ribosomal RNA
Source: RNAcentral